GAGGAUGUAGCUCAGUGGUAGAGCACUUGCCUAGCAUGCAUGAGACUCUGGGUUUAAUCCUUAGCAUUGCCA
This is a non-coding RNA of Ictidomys tridecemlineatus (thirteen-lined ground squirrel), 72 nucleotides long. The record is from Rfam. NCBI's taxonomy places the organism in Eukaryota, Metazoa, Chordata, Mammalia, Rodentia, Sciuridae.